Long non-coding RNA from Sus scrofa (pig), 3250 nucleotides. RefSeq lists it as uncharacterized. The record is from RefSeq and is a predicted model, not a curated record. NCBI's taxonomy places the organism in Eukaryota, Metazoa, Chordata, Mammalia, Artiodactyla, Suidae.
CAUACCGUUAGGCCAUUUGUUUAACGGGAAUCUUUGUCUUGUAAUUGCAGUGUUUGGCUCAUUUGCAUAUAACGUGAUCAUUGGCAGAGUUGUUUACUUUCUGUUUCCUCCUUAAUCCAUUUUCCUUCAAUUUCUGCCUUCUUGUUGCCUCAGCCCAGCAACUGCCCUCAGUUAUAUCCACCUCCACAGCCUAGGACCUGGGAGGAUGACGCAGGGGAUGUGGCAGAUGUUAAGGAGUCUGAUGCGGGAUUGUUGCUGCAGACUAUCCAGCUCUUUAAACAUUUCACUACAGUGAGUUCCCUUUGUGGCGCAGUGGAAAUGAAGCCGACCUGUAUCCACGAGGAUGCAGGUAUGACCCCUGGCCUCGCUCAGCAGGCUUGGCAGCGUGAUGGGAACAAGGUCAAGAAGACGGGCUGUCUUUGCUGUUUUCACAGCACAGUGAAAAGACCCCAGAGCAUCGGACAAGUCCUAAGUCAGCAGAUAUACCUCUGAUCUGAAACGACUCAGAAGUUUUAGGGGAACAGAUAUACUUUUUUUUCUAGUUACCUUUUCAGUUUUGUCUGCUGUGUCCAGUGGCCAUUGUACCUGCUGGACCUUUCCAAAUAUUGUAGGUUUUCUGCUGAUUCUUGGACGUUUCCCAGGAUGAAGGAACUGCUCCCUGCGGGUUGUCACGUGGCCCACCACUUCUGCCUUGGAGCGAUGAACCCUGUGCUGGGUCCAUCGGAUGGCUCUGCAGGAUGGCUCUUCCGCACUUUCUGGGAGCACCUCUGGCUGGAAGCCUCAGCCACCGGCCAUGCAGGGAUUGCCUCAGCUGAGCAAUGGAACCUCCCCCAGGGCGAUGUCCCCAUUCAGGAUGGCCCGCAGCUCCUGGCCAGACGGUGCUGUUGCUUCACGGCAGCCAAAGGGGCGUCCCUUUGCAAGUCGCCACCUGCUAAGGGCUCCCAAGGUCAUCACCACACAUCCCUUUGUUAUUCUUAAUUCCCUCCUACAGGUGUUCAUUCCAAAUAAGCUUCCCGAUACUAAUCUCCAUCUAAAAAACUGGCUUCCCAGAGGACACAACUUGUGAAACCUUGCAAAGUGCCUGUUAUUUGCUCAUAAUUCUAUACUUGUCACUCUGUGUUUUUGAACCUCAACGUAUUUGAUGUAUCUAAUAUUUUUACUACUUCUUAACUUCAUUUUAAAUUUCCACUAUAUAAAGACUUUCUCAUUUAUGAGAUAAGGCUGGAGGGAUAUAAUAAAUUAAAAAAAAUGAGAUUCUGAAACUUCCUAAUUGUAUCGGACAUUGUGUGGCAUCAAGUGAACGAAUGUAAGCAAAGAGAAAGUCUCUGCCACAGUCCACAUGAUGUGUGACGGUAAACUGUUGGCACUUUCGAUGGGCAGGCUUUAUUAUGUUCCAUCAGGAUGUCAUGGCUGGAGAGUGAAAUAAGGGCUGGUAUAAAUAUCCAUAAAAUGAAGGAUAUCAUAUAGUUUAACAGUAAAAUAAUUGGAGAACAGCCUAAAAAAUAAGCAAGGCAUAUUUCCUCCUUAUUUACAGAAUGGAGAAAUACCCUAAUUAAAUAUAGUUCUUUGGAACUGGUUUAUCCUUCUGCGAAUUAUACGCAAAAUGUCUUCUGCUUAAAUGAGAAUACAAAUUAUAACUGGGUAUCAUAUAAAACUAGCACAUGCUCUACCAGGACUUGGUCCCAUUUGAAAGGGCUCCCAACUGUUUCUGAGGGCUUCCAGUCCGUUGUCACCUCACAGAAAGCUCUGCAUGUCCCUUCUCUUACUGUCUGCUUUUAUCCUCUGAUGUGUAGGUGCUCAUGGAACUCCAUUCUCCCAGCCGAGAGGUGUGUGCUGCUGAGUACUGUCCAUGCACGUGGUGGCCUGAGGAAGUCUCUCCUCGCAUCACUUGUCCUUGAAGUUCACUAGUGGAGCUAAAAAUCAAACCAUCCUUCAAAGCUAAACCUGCCCUUUUAAGCUUGAAAUGAUUAAUUUUUAGUGCCCCCAAAUGCUGGUUAUUUGCCCCAUUUUAUGCUGCAGAUGUGCUUGAAUCCUGUCGAGCUUCCAUGCAGCCAUGAGCAGCCCCAGUGCACCUGAACCCUCCUAAGAUACUCUAUCACCAGCCUGGGGUUUUGGCUUUCUUUGGCCAAUAUAAAUUGACAAGAAGCCAGGCAAGACACUCGGACAAGGCUUUCCUGGGGCCCUGGUUGUAGCAGGGUGAAGCGAAAACCAGCGAUGCGUUCCUUUGCUCACCUGCUCCCUGAGGCAGGGCAAGCUGGUUCCUUAUAUCGGGGGAGGGAGGGGCAGGUCCAGGGCUCUGGCCUAGGGGGUCUGCCUACGCCUUCCAUGGCGUUGUGUGCGGGGGCAUGCGUAGUACCUGCUUUUGCUCUGGACACAGUUUUUUGCUCUGACUCUUCAGAAGGGGCACUAGUCCCUUUUAGUUUUUUUGCCUUGUUGUCUGUAAUCUGUCCCCACUGCACAUGCAGGCUGUUAUUUUUAGCCCCUUAUAAUUUCUUUGUGUUUUGCUGCUGGAGGAGCUGUUUGUCCAGGUACCAGCGUUGCAGCCCCUGAAGCCAAGGGCCCCAGGUGCCAGGACCCAGCUUCUCUCAAGCAGAUUUGAAAUUUGUUUCCUUUUAUGGCCACCUUGCAAGGAAAACCUCUCUUUGCUGCAAAUCUUGGUGUCUCAGCCUUUUGGCUUGCUGUGAACUGACAAAGUCAACCGGUUCUGUAACACUCGGGUUUUACUAACUAUGUGAAAUUGACAAUGGCAUGUUUUUGUUGUUUAUCCAUUAAAAUUUCUGUUCUACAUAGGAGUUAAAAGGUAGGCUUCCCCUUAUACUGAGGUUUCCCCAUUCAUUCAGGCUAAGCAGUAAUCUUUGCUCACAAUAGAUUCUUAAAUUUUCCAAAACUUUAAAGUUCGUUUAGGAUACAAUUCAUGGCUAUUGCCCCUGUGGGUAAUUUACAUGCAAUUUAAAUAGUAGAUACAAUUAACAAUGAGAACAGAGUGAUUGUAAAUACAAAGCUAAAUAACUCAAAUUACACCAAUUCAGUCAUAACAAAAUCACUUGGCAUGGCAUUUUUAAUUUGUUUUACAUUUUCUAAGAAGACAUUUAAAUCCUGCUAAAACCUCUCUUGUAGAAACAAAGUAAUGGAUAGUAUUGUAAUUUAUGGAGUUUGCUGGAAAAUUUUAAUGUACAAGGCCUUUAUAAAUGUAUCUUUGGGAGUUCCUGUCAUGGCACAGCAGUUAACAAACCUGACUAGCAUCCAUGAG